CGGGAUGUAGCGCAGCUUGGUAGCGCGCCUGCUUUGGGAGCAGGAUGUCGUAGGUUCGAAUCCUAUCAUCCCGA
Molecule: transfer RNA, 74 nt
Filed under: Pseudanabaena sp.
Lineage: Bacteria; Bacillati; Cyanobacteriota; Cyanophyceae; Pseudanabaenales; Pseudanabaenaceae
Also listed under: 5 other names
Description: tRNA-Pro
Rfam family: tRNA
About the family: Transfer RNA (tRNA) molecules are approximately 80 nucleotides in length.
Source: RNAcentral